AUCCAGACUCCUACGGGAGGCAGCAGUGGGGAAUAUUGCACAAUGGGGGAAACCCUGAUGCAGCGACGCCGCGUGAGCGAUGAAGUAUUUCGGUAUGUAAAGCUCUAUCAGCAGGGAAGAAGAUGACGGUACCUGACUAAGAAGCCCCGGCUAACUACGUGCCAGCAGCCGCGGUAAUACGUAGGGGGCAAGCGUUAUCCGGAUUUACUGGGUGUAAAGGGAGCGUAGACGGCGAUGCAAGCCAGAUGUGAAAGCCCGGGGCUCAACCCCGGGACUGCAUUUGGAACUGUGUGGCUGGAGUGUCGGAGAGGCAGGCGGAAUUCCUAGUGUAGCGGUGAAAUGCGUAGAUAUUAGGAGGAACACCAGUGGCGAAGGCGGCCUGCUGGACGAUGACUGACGUUGAGGCUCGAAAGCGUGGGGAGCAAACAGGAUUAGAUACCCUCGUAU
Molecule: ribosomal RNA, 447 nt
Filed under: uncultured bacterium
Lineage: Bacteria
Description: partial 16S ribosomal RNA
Rfam family: Bacterial small subunit ribosomal RNA
Source: RNAcentral